Molecule: small nuclear RNA, 19 nt
Filed under: Arabidopsis thaliana (thale cress)
Lineage: Eukaryota; Viridiplantae; Streptophyta; Magnoliopsida; Brassicales; Brassicaceae
Description: snRNA_15097
Source: RNAcentral
CGAGUUUGAGCUCAUCGGA